Molecule: long non-coding RNA, 399 nt
Filed under: Ananas comosus (pineapple)
Lineage: Eukaryota; Viridiplantae; Streptophyta; Magnoliopsida; Poales; Bromeliaceae
Description: long non-coding RNA (ACOM_LNC016159)
Source: RNAcentral
GGAUUGCAAAAUUACAGGAGAUGAUAGAGAGAAAAAAAUAUGGUAAUCUUCAAAUUGAAGAAAUAUAUACUUUUAAUGUUUCUAGAAGUAUAUUUAUCCUUUUUUAUAAUAUUAUUAUUUUCUUGAUUGGUAAGUUUAAUGAGAAUGGAAAGUUCAUCUUUAGUAGUUUUUCAUCAAUUUUUGCAGACUAUUUAAAUUAAUAUUUUUUAUUUUAUAGAAAUAAUGAUUAUUUCGAUAAUGUCUAUCCACCACAUCGCGCAUGCAACUACACUAGUUUAACAUUACAAAAGAUAAAAUGGAGGAAUCCAAAUUAUAUUGGACCUUAGGGUACACUUUAUUCGGGCAAAAAUUAUAUGGGCAUGGUCUCCAAACUAUCAGUUUGGGGACGGUGCCGAUAGG